Molecule: unclassified non-coding RNA, 220 nt
Filed under: plant metagenome
Description: partial contains small subunit ribosomal RNA, internal transcribed spacer 1, and 5.8S ribosomal RNA
Source: RNAcentral
UCUCCGUAGGUGAACCUGCGGAGGGAUCAUUACAGAGUUCGUGCCCUCACGGGUAGAUCUCCCACCCUGUGUUAUUAUACCUUUGUUGCUUUGGCGGGCCGCCCUCGGCUACCGGCCCCGACUGGUACGCGCCCGCCAGAGGACCCCAAACUCUGAAUGUUAGUGUCGUCUGAGUACUAUACAAUAGUUAUAACUUUCAACAACGGAUCUCUUGGUUCUG